UACAGAGGUCUCAAGCGUUGUUCGGAUUCAUUGGGCGUAAAGGGCGCGUAGGCUGCGGGGCAAGUCGGGUGUGAAAUCUCAGAGCUCAACUCUGAAACUGCACUCGAUACUGCUUUGCUCGAGGACUGGAGAGGAGAUUGGAUUUCACGGUGUAGCAGUGAAAUGCGUAGAUAUCGUGAGGAAGACCAGUGGCGAAGGCGGAUCUCUGGACAGUUCCUGACGCUGAGGCGCGAAGGCCAGGGGAGCAAACGGG
Molecule: ribosomal RNA, 253 nt
Filed under: uncultured bacterium
Lineage: Bacteria
Description: partial 16S ribosomal RNA
Rfam family: Bacterial small subunit ribosomal RNA
Source: RNAcentral